UACGGGGGGAGCAAGCGUUGUUCGGAUUUACUGGGCGUAAAGGGCUCGUAGGCGGUUGUGACAAGUCACUUGUGAAAUCUCCGGGCUUAACUCGGAACGGCCAAGUGAUACUGUCGGACUAGAGUACAGAAGGGGCAACUGGAAUUCUCGGUGUAGCGGUGAAAUGCGUAGAUAUCGAGAGGAACACCUGCGGCGAAGGCGGGUUGCUGGGCUGAUACUGACGCUGAGGCGCGAAAGCCAGGGGAGCGAACGGG
Molecule: ribosomal RNA, 254 nt
Filed under: uncultured bacterium
Lineage: Bacteria
Description: partial 16S ribosomal RNA
Rfam family: Bacterial small subunit ribosomal RNA
Source: RNAcentral